Molecule: long non-coding RNA, 900 nt
Organism: Solanum dulcamara
Lineage: Eukaryota; Viridiplantae; Streptophyta; Magnoliopsida; Solanales; Solanaceae
Exons: 2
Source: RefSeq, a predicted model, not a curated record
UUAGAAUUAGUGGUGAAUAAUUAUCAGAAAUGGAAAAACCCUAAAAGACAUUCCUCUCCCAAUUCCAAUUUUCUCAGCUGCACCACCCUUGUCUUUCAAUUUCCCCAGCGCCAGCUCUCAUCUUCCUCAUCAACAAAUGAGCUCACCACCACACUGCUACCAGUAGCUCCAUUUGAACCUAACCAGGAAACAACCCCUAAUUCUCUCCCUCACACCACAGUCCCGCCACCAUCCUUGCCGGAGAAGACAACGGAGAACCAAGCAACUACCAACAUCUCCUUCACUCUGAUCUAGCUUUGACGAAUGGAGCAACCAAAUGACCCCUAACCCUUUCUACCUCACUCAAUGUAACCCAUAAGAAGAUCGCAUAACCACCAUGAGCUAGACCCUUGAAGAGAUUCGACCUCCAAGCUCUGUAAAAUCCCAAUGUAUAAGCAAGCUCAGCAACUCAAACAACAACGCCAACUCCAGUGAAAAACAACCAGCAAUCAGGAGCUUCGAGCUCCAACGAUCAACAACAUUUUGCCUUCAUUCUCCUCACUCCGGUGAAAUUAGCUAGCCCUUUCGGUACCCAGAGUUUCUCCCCGAGGAAGCUAUUCAAAUUAAAUUCGAAUAAUUUUUAUUCCAUUAUUGUGUAUAUUAUCGACGUUAGGCAAAUAUUAGGCCAUUUAUUAUAGUAUUGUUUCACUUUAUUUUUGUGUGUAUUUUAUUGUUUAUUAUACUUGUUAUUUAAUUUAUCGCCUCAAUUUGAAAAAAAUAAAUUCAGUCGGGACCCACAGUUGUGGAUUCCAAAGGGUGCUAAAAUCUUUUCUUCGGGAUCACUUGAAUCCCUUACCUAGAAUCUAAUGGUUUUGUAGAUUAUUUUGUUAAUUAAUUGGUUUCCUAAUUAUCCUAAACUUA